CCUACGUGAGGCAGCAGUGAGGAAUAUUGGUCAAUGGGCGGAAGCCUGAACCAGCCAAGUAGCGUGCAGGAUGACGGCCCUCCGGGUUGUAAACUGCUUUUAUACGGGAAUAACGGGCCUUACGUGUAGGGCUUUGCAUGUACCCUAUGAAUAAGGACCGGCUAAUUCCGUGCCAGCAGCCGCGGUAAUACGGGAGGUCCGGGCGUUAUCCGGAUUUAUUGGGUGUAAAGGGAGCGUAGGCCGCAUGUCAAGCGUGCUGUGAAAUGUCCCGGCUCAACCCUGGCCUUGCAGCGCGAACUGGCGUGCUUGAGUCCGCGGAAAGCAGGCGGAAUUCGUCGUGUAGCGGUGAAAUGCUUAGAUAUGACGAAGAACCCCGAUUGCGAAGGCAGCUUGCUGCAGCGGAACUGACGCUGAUGCUCGAAAGCGCGGGUAUCGAACAGGAUUAGAUACCCUUGUAGUC
RNAcentral lists this ribosomal RNA (460 nucleotides) under uncultured bacterium. Its description in RNAcentral is "partial 16S ribosomal RNA". It matches the Rfam family "Bacterial small subunit ribosomal RNA", at positions 338 to 795 of the family's 1533-position model. The record is from RNAcentral.